GUAGGGAAUCUUCCACAAUGGGCGAAAGCCUGAUGGAGCAACGCCGCGUGUGUGAUGAAGGGUUUCGGCUCGUAAAACACUGUUGUAAGAGAAGAAUGACAUUGAGAGUAACUGUUCAAUGUGUGACGGUAUCUUACCAGAAAGGAACGGCCAAAUACGUGCCAG
This 165-nucleotide ribosomal RNA is filed under the name uncultured bacterium. RNAcentral's name for it is "partial 16S rRNA". It matches the Rfam family "Bacterial small subunit ribosomal RNA", at positions 354 to 511 of the family's 1533-position model. The record is from RNAcentral.